This 1976-nucleotide long non-coding RNA is filed under the name Daphnia magna. Its description in RNAcentral is "uncharacterized LOC123472344". The record is from RNAcentral. Lineage: Eukaryota; Metazoa; Arthropoda; Branchiopoda; Diplostraca; Daphniidae.
GGCCAGUGUAGAUCGUGUACGCAUCGUCGUGUACGUGUACUGGGUACAUCGUGUAUUAUACCGUGUAUUUGCCAAACUCCGCCCCCUAGUGGGAGGGGCUUAGCACGGCUUGUACACGGUUUAUCACUAGCAGACGACGGCGGAAAUUGGGUAAAUCGUGUACGGAGCCUUCCGUGUACGUGUAUUGGUUUGGUUUGGUUGUCAAUUUUAAAUAAAUACGAUACGAUACGAUAGUUUAAAAUAAAGAGAGAAAUCAGCAAAUUUGGUCUUAUUCUAAUAAAUAUAAUAUAUAUAUACAUAAAUAAUUCUUUUAAAAAAUCAACGAUGGCUAACCAUUGCAUUUGCGCAUUUUCAAAAACGAAAUGAUGAAUGCCAUUGAGCCUUGCCUAUUGGAAAUGACCAUAUGGACGUUUUUGUUGAGGAUCAUUCCCUUGGGUCACUCGUUUUAGGGAAUAAGUCAGUGGUGUAAGUUGUGAGCAAACUAAUUAACCGUUUUUGAUUGGAUUUAUUAAGUAAUCUGUUCUCUGUUGUGUUUCUUUCGCGUUUCAACCGACGGAAAAUGGUUUUCAAUAAAAAACAAACUGACUAUAUGCUGAGCAUCGUUUCUAUGUUUUCGGAUAAUACUUUACCUGCGUAUAUAAUCAACGAAGAAACAAAUUUGCCACCGCAUGCUCUUUUGCCAAACCCAGGUGCAAAAUUCAUGAUUAGAUGGGAAGGCGCGAAAUUUGAACAGGAUUGGCACAUAACUGUAAGUGAAUGUCUAUGUGUACCUUACUAAUUAUAAAAAUUCCAUUCAUUUAAUUAAGAUAAUACAUGUGAGACUAAAUUUCGAAUAACUAAUUUAUAUCGUCACAUUCAUACAAAAUGAUUUGAAAUGACAUUUCCCAUUAUAUUAAAUAUUCAAAUUAUACUAAAUAAACAAAGUAUAAGAAUCACAAAAUGUAUGUAUCGUUUGUGCACAAGCAUUAUAUUUAAUAAUAAGUAAUGUUUGUGCAUAAAUUAAGAGGAAUUAAUUAUAAAUUAAUUAUAAAUUCAAGACGAAUACACGAUUUACCCGGCAAUCGUGUACUGUACACGGUGCUAAGCCCCUCCCACUAGGGGACGGAGUUUGGCAAAUACACGGUAUAAUACACGAUGUACCCAGUACACGUACACGACGAUGCGUACACGAUCUACACUGGCCCAUAAAAAAACGUGUACAGGUUAUGGUUUGUUAAACCAGAUUGUAUUGUUAUUGUUGCUCUGUAGAAACAACGCUGCUUGUUAAGCAUUACAUUAGGAGUUCUGCACUGAUAAAUUCAAAUGCCUUCCUGCUGUAUUUUCUCUCUCUCUCUCUCUCUCUCUCUCUCUCCCUUGAAGAAUUGAAAAACUUUACGAGAAUAAGGAAACCGAUACAUUGAAUCUACAUUCUACUUAAUGCUUUGAGGAAAGAGGCAUGAACCAUUACUAUUCACGAACACAGAAUUUGGCGGAAGGAGGCUUCAGUCUGAGUAAUGGUUUCUAUUAACAUAGAUGAGAAGCUGUUAAAAUAUUUUUUUAAAAAGGUGUGGCUGAUGAAGAAAUUAUGGUGACUCAAUGGGACUCGAGAUUAACCACUGAGCACUUACCUCCUCUAUACGACGUUGAACUAAAAUCAUCGAGUAACUUUGACCUGUCCUAGCAAAGAAAUGGCAAAGCAAAUCAGUCAUAAUGAAUGAAUGGGGGAGGGGGGGUCCAGUAGGGAAAAUGGAUGAGAGUGAGAGGCAGAGAGAACAAAAUAUUAUGGAGGCUGCUGGUCUUUCAACCUACCAAAGAUACAAUGGAUCAAGAAAAUAACUAGGUCACUGUAUGUACAUAAGUUUACACAAGAGUCACACGGGGAAACUUUAGACCACAGCAAAUUGGCUGAUAUUGACGAUAACGCGAAUUGGCUAGGGAAAAUAGUUGCAUCUUCAUAAAAAGAAACUUGUCAACCAUGAAAAUACCGGAAACCAGCA